GAUGAACGCUGGCGGCGUGCCUAAUACAUGCAAGUCGAGCGAACGGACGAGAAGCUUGCUUCUCUGAUGUUAGCGGCGGACGGGUGAGUAACACGUGGAUAACCUACCUAUAAGACUGGGAUAACUUCGGGAAACCGGAGCUAAUACCGGAUAAUAUUUUGAACCGCAUGGUUCAAAAGUGAAAGACGGUCUUGCUGUCACUUAUAGAUGGAUCCGCGCUGCAUUAGCUAGUUGGUAAGGUAACGGCUUACCAAGGCAACGAUGCAUAGCCGACCUGAGAGGGUGAUCGGCCACACUGGAACUGAGACACGGUCCAGACUCCUACGGGAGGCAGCAGUAGGGAAUCUUCCGCAAUGGGCGAAAUCCUGACGGAGCAACGCCGCGUGAGUGAUGAAGGUCUUCGGAUCGUAAAACUCUGUUAUUAGGGAAGAACAUAUGCGUAAGUAACUGUGCACAUCUUGACGGUACCUAAUCAGAAAGCCACGGCUAACUACGUG
This 497-nucleotide ribosomal RNA is filed under the name uncultured bacterium. RNAcentral's name for it is "partial 16S ribosomal RNA". It matches the Rfam family "Bacterial small subunit ribosomal RNA", at positions 28 to 507 of the family's 1533-position model. The record is from RNAcentral.